Molecule: RNase P RNA, 340 nt
Filed under: Giesbergeria anulus
Lineage: Bacteria; Pseudomonadati; Pseudomonadota; Betaproteobacteria; Burkholderiales; Comamonadaceae
Description: Bacterial RNase P class A
Rfam family: Bacterial RNase P class A
About the family: Ribonuclease P (RNase P) is a ubiquitous endoribonuclease, found in archaea, bacteria and eukarya as well as chloroplasts and mitochondria. Its best characterised activity is the generation of mature 5'-ends of tRNAs by cleaving the 5'-leader elements of precursor-tRNAs.
Source: Rfam by way of RNAcentral
GAAGCACGCCAGACCGCCGCUGGUGCAAUUUGGGAAACCAAGCACUGGAGGAACGUCCGGACUGCACAGGACAGCGUAGCAGCUAACGGCUGCCCACCGCAAGGUGAGGAUCAGAGCAACAGAGACGAGUCUGACGGGAGUACCGCAAGGUAAACCAGUCGGGGUGAAACGGGCAAUCUCUACGCGCAGCAAUACCAAGUAGGCCAGCGUUGAUGUGGUUCCGCAGAGCUGGCGGGUAGGUAGCACCGAGCCGGGUGGGCAACCCCCGGCCCAGAGUAAUGGCGGUCACGCUGCGGGUAACCGCAGUGCACAGAAUCCGGCUUAUCGGUGUGCUUCACAC